Molecule: long non-coding RNA, 410 nt
Organism: Poecilia latipinna (sailfin molly)
Lineage: Eukaryota; Metazoa; Chordata; Actinopteri; Cyprinodontiformes; Poeciliidae
Exons: 2
Source: RefSeq, a predicted model, not a curated record
UCCCAUCUGAUUGGUGUUGGGGAAUCCCACCACCUGCUCCAUGCAUCACCCCAAGAAGUAAAUCAUGACAGUUGGACAAAGUUUCCUCUCUAUUUUUAUUUUUUAUUUUUUUGCUUCAUUCAUUAAAUUCAUAUAAAUUUAAUCCAAUAAAGAACUUUUAUCUCCACCUCCAAGCCUGGAUCCACUCUCAGUCACUUCAUCCCAGUCAAGGCUGAUGAAGAAAUUAAGCUGGUAUCUGAUGAACCGUCCUCCACUCUGUCACUUCAACCAACCAACUUGGCUCGGGGUGAAUAAAGGUCCACAUAAUUUUGAGUCACUAUCUACUAAAUUGUCAAGUAUUUUAUUGACUAAUAUUUUGUUUUUACAGUAAAUAAAAAAAUUACAAUUUAAAUAAAAAGAGAAUGGAUUAA